GUCUGCUUGAAGAUAUAAGAAGUCUAACCUGCUCUCUGAUUAGUUUAAGGGCCGCGGUAACCUGACCGUGCAAAGGUAGCAUAAUAGUUAGUUUUYUAAUUGGAAUCUUGUAUGAAUGGUUGGACAAAAGAAAUACUGUCUCUAUAAUUUUUCUUGAAUUUAACUUUUAAGUGAAAAGGCUUAAAUGCUUUAAAAAGACGAUAAGACCCUAUAAAGCUUUAUAAAACAAGUUAUAUUAGAUUGAGUUAAUAUAAUAAAAUUUUAAUUAACUUAUUUAUUUUGUUGGGGAGACAGCAUUAUAAGUAUUAAUAACUGUGGGAGAUAUAAACAAAUAUAAAUGUUUAAAAAUAAAAGAUCCUAUAUAAAGAUUACAAGUUUAAGUUACUUUAGGGAUAACAGCGUUAUUUUUCUUGAGAGUUCAUAUCGAAAGAAAAGAUUGCGACCUCGAUGUUGAAUUAAAAUUUCUAAAUGAUUGCAGAAGUUAUUUUAGAAGGUCUGUUCGACCUUUAAAUUUUUACAUGAUUUGAGUUCAGACCGGCGUAAGCCAGGUCGGUUUCUAUCUUUUAAUUAAAAAUAAAUUACUUUAGUACGAAAGGAUUUAGUAGUUAAAAAAUUUUUUAUAUUGAUAAAGCUAUCUUGGCAGAAUAUAUGCGUAGGA
This 658-nucleotide ribosomal RNA is filed under the name Indopinnixa moosai. RNAcentral describes it as "partial 16S large subunit ribosomal RNA". Lineage: Eukaryota; Metazoa; Arthropoda; Malacostraca; Decapoda; Pinnotheridae. The record is from RNAcentral.